GACGAACGCUGGCGGCGUGCUUAACACAUGCAAGUCGAACGGAAAGGCCCUGCUUUUGUGGGGUGCUCGAGUGGCGAACGGGUGAGUAACACGUGAGUAACCUGCCCUUGACUUUGGGAUAAUUUCAGGAAAUUGGGGCAAUUACGGAAAGGAGGCUCCGCCGCAUUGGGGGGGGUGGGAAAGUUCGGCGGUUGGGGAUGGACUCGCGGCUUAUCAGCUUGUUGGUGGGGGAGUGGCUUACCAAGGCUUUGACGGGUAGCCGGCCUGAGAGGGUGACCGGCCACAUUGGGACUGAGAUACGGCCCAGACUCCUACGGGAGGCAGCAGUGGGGAAUAUUGCACAAUGGGCGGAAGCCUGAUGCAGCAACGCCGCGUGCGGGAUGACGGCCUUCGGGUUGUAAACCGCUUUCGCCUGUGACGAAGCGUGAGUGACGGUAAUGGGUAAAGAAGCACCGGCUAACUACGUG
This 467-nucleotide ribosomal RNA is filed under the name uncultured bacterium. RNAcentral's name for it is "partial 16S ribosomal RNA". It matches the Rfam family "Bacterial small subunit ribosomal RNA", at positions 28 to 507 of the family's 1533-position model. The record is from RNAcentral.